AGCAGCCGCGGUAAUUCCAGCUCCAAUAGCGUAUAUUAAAGUUGUUGCAGUUAAAAAGCUCGUAGUUGAAUUUCGGGACCAAUUUGUUGGUCGUGCCUCGGUACGUACUGGUAUUAUUGGUUUCUCCCUUCUGAAGAACCUUGAUGUCAUUAAUUUGGUGUCUUGGGGAAUCAGGACUGUUACUUUGAAAAAUUAGAGUGUUUAAAGCAAGCAUACGCUUGAAUACAUUAGCAUGGAAUAAUGAAAUAGGACGUUUGAUUCUAUUUUGUUGGUUUCUAGGAUCGACGUAAUGAUUAAUAGGGAUAGUUGGGGGCAUUAGUAUUCAAUUGUCAGAGGUGAAAUUCUUGGAUUUAUUGAAGACUAACUACUGCGAAAGCAUUUGCCAAGGAUGUUUUCAUUAAUCAAGAACGAAAGUUAGGGGAUCGAAGACGAUCAGAUACCGUCGUAGUCUUAACCAUAAACUAUGCCGACUAGGGAUCGGAUGAUGUAAUUUUUAAUGACUCAUUCGGCGCCUUACGGG
RNAcentral lists this ribosomal RNA (520 nucleotides) under uncultured Glomus. RNAcentral's name for it is "SSU rRNA". It matches the Rfam family "Eukaryotic small subunit ribosomal RNA", at positions 569 to 1094 of the family's 1831-position model. Lineage: Eukaryota; Fungi; Glomeromycota; Glomeromycetes; Glomerales; Glomeraceae. The record is from RNAcentral.